UAAUACGAAGGGACCUAGCGUAGUUCGGAAUUACUGGGCUUAAAGAGCUCGUAGGUGGUUAAGAAAGUUGGUGGUGAAAUCCCAAGGCUUAACCUUGGAACUGCCACCAAAACUUUUUGACUAGAGUAUGAUAGAGGUAAGUGGAAUUUCUAGUGUAGAGGUGAAAUUCGUAGAUAUUAGAAAGAACACCAAUUGCGAAGGCAACUUUCUGGAUCAUUACUGACACUGAGGAGCGAAAGCAUGGGUAGCGAAGAGGAUUAGAUACCCUCGUAGUCCAUGCCGUAAACGAUGUGUGCUAGACGUUGGAAACUUAGUUUUCAGUGUCGCAGCGAAAGCGUUAAGCACACCGCCUGGGGAGUACGACCGCAAGGUUA
This 374-nucleotide ribosomal RNA is filed under the name uncultured Alphaproteobacteria bacterium. Its description in RNAcentral is "bacterial SSU rRNA". It matches the Rfam family "Bacterial small subunit ribosomal RNA", at positions 521 to 896 of the family's 1533-position model. Lineage: Bacteria; Pseudomonadati; Pseudomonadota; Alphaproteobacteria. The record is from RNAcentral.